Ananas comosus (pineapple) is the source of this 2777-nucleotide RNA transcript. It is a transcript of the gene named pentatricopeptide repeat-containing protein At3g02650, mitochondrial, with no coding region annotated. The transcript has 3 exons. NCBI's taxonomy places the organism in Eukaryota, Viridiplantae, Streptophyta, Magnoliopsida, Poales, Bromeliaceae. The record is from RefSeq and is a predicted model, not a curated record.
CCAUACAUCUUACCCCAUAAACCCUAAAACCACUCGUCACCUCCGCCCCCACGAGCUCAGAGUGAGCGAGAGAGAGAGAGAGAGGGAGAGAGAGAGAGAAGACGAUGUGGAGAUCCAAAGCGAGGGCUUUCCUCCUCCUCAAACCCUCGAUCCUUAGGUCACCACCAUCCCAGGUACUCUCCAAAACCCUAACCCUAAUCCCAGCGCCACCUCCCAUGCCCACCCCAACCCAUUUCCGCACCCUCAGAUCCUUCUCCUCGACCAACCACGCCUUCUCCUCGGAUUAUGACCCCAAAAACCCUAAUGGCUCUUCAGAAUCGGCGGCGUUUGAGGCCGGAGGUGAGAACCCUAGCGGUUCCGCUUUAAAUGAGAAGGAGACCAGUCCUAACGAGGUGGAGGGCGAUAGUUUGAGCUCUCUUUGGGAGGAGAGCAUUAAUGGUGAUGAUGCCGAUAGCAUCUUCGCAGCGGAGUCCAAAUCCGUAGUGGGAGCUGCAGAUGAAUCUGAGGAGUUUGAUAUUGACGAGGAAGUUGAUCACAUCCGAUCUGUUAUAGAAACUUGUCCGGCCGAUCAGAUAGAGAGGACCUACACAAAGUUGGCAUUUCACAUGACUGAAGAGGUCCUCUCUAGGGUUUUCAAAACCACACCUUGUUCCGCCGAAAAGUUCAUUGCUUUCUUUAAAAUUGUUGCGAUAAAUUAUCCUUUCACGAAGAAUUUGAGAACCGUGGGGUUUCUCGUCGAUGCAAUUAGCCUAGUGGAUGAGCUUGAAAAGAAGGAUGCUUACAUGUUGUGGGAUUUGAUUAAGGAGAUAGGGAAAGAGAAAGGGUUGGUUACUACCGAGGUUCUUAACAGUUUGAUCUCCAUGUUUUGGAAGCUGGGGAAAGCGAAGGCUGCUCUUGAGGUCUUCGAAAAGUUUGAUGAGUUUGGGUGUAGCCCGGAUGGGAAUACUUACUAUUUCACCAUCGAAGCACUUGGUCGGAGGUCCAUGAUUGAUACUGCUUGGUCUGUUUGCGAGAAGAUGAUCAAUUCAGGGAGAUUUCCUGAUGGCGAGAAGAUGGGUGAAAUUGUUCUCUUCUUCUGCCGAGGUGGAAAGCCUAAAGAGGCUCAUUUAGUCUAUUUAGCUGCAAAGGAGAGUAAGGUCUCUCUAUCGGCAUCUGUCUUCGAUUUUCUGGUCGGUGCACUAUCUAAAAAAGAUGAAACCAUUUAUACCGCUAUGGAGUUACUUGAAGACUAUCCAAAAGAGUCCCUUAAGUACGCGAAUAAGUCUUUUGCUUCGGUUAUUCAUGGUUUAUGUAAGGUGAAAGAUGUAAAAGAAGCAAAGAAGUUGCUACUUAGGAUGGUAAAUGUAGGGCCGGCACCUGGUAAUGCGGCGUUCAACUAUGUUAUUACCGCACUCUCUAAAGCAGGGGAAAUGGAUGAUGCGAAGAAUCUAUUGAAAGUAAUGGACAGCAGGGGGCUCAGACCAGAUGUUUAUGCUUAUACUGUUAUAAUGAGCGGCUAUGCGAAGGGCGGCCUAUUGGAUGAAGCCCAUGAAAUCCUUCGUGAAGCCAAGAGAAUACAUCAAAAGUUGAGUCCUGUUACUUACCAUAUUCUAAUUCGUGGUUACUGCAAAAUGGAACAGUUCGAGAAGGCCCUUGAGUGCUUAAAUGAGAUGAAGGAAGAUGGUAUGCAGCCAAACACAGAUGAAUAUAACAAACUUAUCCAGUCUUUGUGCCUCAAGGCUAUGGACUGGCGCACGGCGGAGAAGCUCUUGGAGGAGAUGACGGAGAGUGGACUCUAUCUUAAGGGGAUAACGCGUAGUCUAAUAGCAGCAGUUAAGGAACUAGAAGAGGAGGAAAUUGGACCGGCCAUCAGUGCUGAGACGUAGUUUCUACAAGAUACAAUUUGUUUUGGUAGCUUAGGUAGCUUAGGCUGAUGGCUUUUGUUGUUGCGGCAUUUUUCUCGACUUGUGCAGGAUUAUAAGUUCUACUUGUUAAAGCUAUCAGGAAAUUUCUGCGCUCCAGUCAACUGCUUGGAGCUUAUGGUGGAAAUGACUUUUGCCUCAACUAUCUCCCCGAUUGAAAUUGAAACACGUUGAGAGCCUGCUAUUGUAUGAUAAGUUUUGAGUGAGUAUAACAGUUUAAUGAUGGAGCAUAAUGUGGAUGUUUAAUCAUCGCUCUUAUUCCGGUGGAAACGGCUGCAGCAUUUGAAUCCUUGGAUAUGCUGGGAGUUUGAUCUAUCGGAAUUUGGUGGUCAUAUUGAAGAUGCGCAGAAUUAAAAUAUAUUCUGAUUGGCUCCAAGAUCUGGUGGAGAAAAGGACAAGUAAUCUCUUACCCUGUUUUUCUGAAUAUUGAUACUGACACCUUCCUAUACUCUUUUAACUACAAGCCAUGUAUCUACCAUAAGUAGGUAAGGAAUGGUAAAUACCAAUUUCAUCCAAAAUGCCCCAGCUUUUCCUUAAUUUGCAGAGUUACUCUAGCAAGAAGCUCCUAUUUUCAUGAUAAAAAUGGGUAUACUUUUAUAGUGUUAUAUUCGAUAGUUGUUUAAAUUUGAGAGAUGCUUUGUACCUCUUUUAGUUAAAAUUUAGUAUGAUGCAUCUUAUAGGACAUAUCAGGCGCGAGCCAUUAGAUCUAUUAUUAUAUGUCUUUUUCCCCAUAUUUUUUAUUUUCUUUUGUACAUGGAUCCAAGAUUGGACAUCACAUGUGACCCUAUUUAAGCACAUUGCUUGUUUUUUGGAUUCAACAGGCCCCCCCCACAUGAUCCGUUGUAACCGGAUCUUAUACAUACUAAAUUACUAAAG